RNAcentral lists this transfer RNA (69 nucleotides) under Diversibipalium multilineatum. RNAcentral describes it as "tRNA-Trp". Lineage: Eukaryota; Metazoa; Platyhelminthes; Tricladida; Geoplanidae. The record is from RNAcentral.
AAGAUUUUAGGUUAAAAAAACCAUAAAUUUUCAAAAUUUAAAAUAAAUUAAAAUUGGAUUUAAAUCUUG